RNAcentral lists this unclassified non-coding RNA (379 nucleotides) under plant metagenome. Its description in RNAcentral is "partial contains 5.8S ribosomal RNA, internal transcribed spacer 2, and large subunit ribosomal RNA". The stretch from base 1 to 106 matches the Rfam family "5.8S ribosomal RNA", at positions 49 to 154 of the family's 154-position model. The record is from RNAcentral.
CGAAAUGCGAUAAGUAAUGUGAAUUGCAGAAUUCAGUGAAUCAUCGAAUCUUUGAACGCACCUUGCGCUCCUUGGUAUUCCUUGGAGCAUGCCUGUUUGAGUAUCAUGAAAUCUUCAAAGUAAAUCUUUUGUUAACUCAAUUGGUUUCUACUUUGGUAUUGGAGGUCUUUGCAGCUUCACACCUGCUCCUCUUUGUUCAUUAGCUGGAUCUCAGUGUUAUGCUUGGUUCCACUCGGCGUGAUAAGUUAUCUAUCGCUGAGGACACUGUAAAAGGUGGCCAAGGUAAAUGCAGAUGAACCGCUUCUAAUAGUCCAUUAACUUGGACAAUACUUUUAUGAUCUGAUCUCAAAUCAGGUAGGACUACCCGCUGAACUUAAGC